CCUACGGGAGGCAGCAGUGAGGAAUAUUGGUCAAUGGGCGCGAGCCUGAACCAGCCAAGUCGCGUGAGGGAAGACGGUCCUAUGGAUUGUAAACCUCUUUUGUCGGGGAGCAAAAGACGCCACGCGUGGCGUUCCGAGUGUACCCGAAGAAAAAGCAUCGGCUAACACCGUGCCAGCAGCCGCGGUAAUACGGAGGAUGCGAGCGUUAUCCGGAUUUAUUGGGUUUAAGGGGUGCGCAGGCGGAAGAUCAAGUCAGCGGUAAAAUUGAGAGGCUCAACCUCUUCGAGCCGUUGAAACUGGGGGUCUUGAGUGAGCGAGAGGUAUGCGGAAUGCGUGGUGUAGCGGUGAAAUGCAUAGAUAUCACGCAGAACUCCGAUUGCGAAGGCAGCAUACCGGCGCACAACUGACGCUCAUGCACGAAAGUGUGGGUAUCGAACAGGAUUAGAUACCCUAGUAGUC
RNAcentral lists this ribosomal RNA (459 nucleotides) under uncultured bacterium. RNAcentral describes it as "partial 16S ribosomal RNA". It matches the Rfam family "Bacterial small subunit ribosomal RNA", at positions 338 to 795 of the family's 1533-position model. The record is from RNAcentral.